This is a long non-coding RNA of Drosophila santomea, 2021 nucleotides long. RefSeq lists it as uncharacterized. The transcript has 5 exons. Lineage: Eukaryota; Metazoa; Arthropoda; Insecta; Diptera; Drosophilidae. The record is from RefSeq and is a predicted model, not a curated record.
ACACUGACACUUAUCGAGCUGCCAGCACAAAAAAAAAAUAUAAUACAUUAUUAAUUAAUAAGUAAAUCUUGAUAAGACGAGUUCCUCCCUUUGGGAUAAAGUGUUUUACAAAUGGCAAUAAAACGCUAUCGCGAAAUGGCUUAUCACAUCAGCAGGCAUAAAUAAAAAUUAUCUUUUGAAGUAGCAACAAGCAACAAGCCGGAAACGGAAGUAGACGUGAAUUGCGUAAGUGAGGAAGAAGCGAGAAGCGAGUUACAGGCAACAUUCAUAAUGCACAUGUCCAAGAUAAACCAAAACAGAAGACAAAUGUUAGUUCAUAAAUUGUCAAGAAGUCGGCAAAAGAAGAGAAAAUGAAAACGAAAUGCCAUCUCCACUCAUUUUUCCCCGAAAUAUUCCCUGCCUUUUUUUCUUGUUUCUUCCACUCUUUUCUUCAAGAAGGAGAGCUCCUGCAUCGUUGUUUAAAAAAUGCAUAUAUGCAAUGGAACUUAAUUGAGCUUGCGGUAUUUAAAGAACUCGAGAUGGAAAUAAAUUUGCACUAAAUAAAACAGCCUUCAGGCUGAAUAGAAAUGCAACAUUUUGCAUGUCUAUAUAAAUAUGUAUUUACUCUAUUGUGAAAUGUAUAUAAAUAUAUAUUUACUCUAUUUCGAAAUUUGGUUUCAAGCCUACAAGCAUCAAGUCUGAUCAAGUGUUGCGAUUGAUUUUUCCUUCAAGAUGUCAUUAUUCAAGGGCACCAGUGUAAACAGAACAGAUAUCGCUUCGAGUGGACACAUCCGUUGGACUGGGAUGAGGGACUGUGAAGACAGGACACUGAUUCCGGCUGGAAGCCUAAACAAAUAUGCAGCUGCCGUGCUAUCAUCAGGUGAUGGGUGACGGGUGACUGGAGUCACGGAGUCAGGCCUUCAGGAAUUGCUCUUAUUUGUCUUCAUUACACUGGCCACUAUUCAGUUGGAUUGUUUUUGGGCAAAACCAGAACCAGAACCAGUACCAGUACCGUGUACCAAUACCAGGAGCAGGAAAUUCAAAUACGCUCACAACCCGAACCACAAUCAAAGUUUUUGGCCCACACAGAUGGAAGAUGCUUGUAGUGCUCCAAAUAGCUACAUAACUACAUAGCUACAUUGUUUUGCUUGCCUUUCUGUUUUGGUUAGCAUCUCAUCUCGGCUUCUCAGUUUUUUGGUCUUUUGUUUUUCGAUGUUGACGUCGAUGUCGCAGGACUCUUCCGCUACUUUGACUGCUUAGAUUAAGGACAUGGCAGGAGGAGGUUUGUUCGGGCAAGUUUUUUGCGGCUUUGCCUUGAUAAUCCCACGUCCUUUGCAGGACAUCAAGGGCAUUAGCAUGUGAUAUGUGUGUGUCUGCAAGUUCUUGGAUUUUUCGGUGUAUUUCAAAUCUGUAUAUAAAUGGCUUUCUAUCUGCUGAGACGAGUGCCGAAGUUUAUGAAACUUGGCCAAAGAUGUUGCCAGUUUAAGUUGAAGUUUCCUAAUUAGCCGGCAAAGCGAUAUCAAAGGAGUUAGAGGCUUUUGCGGCGAUUCAGGCGUUCCCUCUAUUCGUCAACUGUUGCUUUCGCCUCAACGGCGGCAGCCAUAAAAGAAAAAGCCAUUCGCGAAUUAUGCCCCGCCGUCAGCAAAAGCGGGAUCAACUGAAGUGGACUUGGACUUGGGAACCUGUGAAGUGGAAGCACCUCAGGCCCAGUUGCCAUCCCCAUCUUCCGGCCAGGAAGGUCCUAAGUCAACAUCCUGGACAUCCCGCACAUCCUGGACAUCCACAACAUCCCCAACCUCCUCAACAUCCUGGACAUUCCGGAGAGAGCGCAAAUAUGACUCAAUUCCUCCUUCUCUGCCAUUGCGCACCUUUCGCGAUAAUAAGUUGCGAGUUUAUUACUUCAUUUUCCUCACAACCGAAAAGGUCUUCAAAUGGGGAGCCUUUCAAGGUAUAGUUAUCCAGUCUUAUCAGUCUGCAAUCCAAAACUAGUCCAAAGCACCUGGUCUAUCUAGUCACUAUCUUGAACAGCACUGGGCCAAAAU